UACCAGCUCUCCGAGUUGUAGGGAUGAUUAUUGGGCUUAAAGCGUCCGUAGCUGGCUUAGCAAGUCUCCUGUUAAAUUCAGCGACCUAAUCGUUGAGCCGCGGGAGAUACUACUAGGCUAGGAGGCGGGAGAGGUCGACGGUACUUUCGGGGUAGGGGUGAAAUCCUAUAAUCCCGGGAGGACCACCAGUGGCGAAGGCUGUCGACUAGAACGCGCUCGACGGUGAGGGACGAAAGCUGGGGGGAGCGAACCGGAUUAGAUACCCGGGUAGUCACAGCUGUAAACUAUGCGGGCUAGGUGUUGGGGUGGCUACGGGCCACUUCAGUGCCGCAGGAAAGCCAUUAAGCCCGCCGCCUGGGAGUACGGCCGCAAGGCUGAAACUUAAAGGAAUUGGCGGGGGAGCACCACAAGGGGUGAAGCCUGCGGUUC
RNAcentral lists this ribosomal RNA (429 nucleotides) under uncultured archaeon. RNAcentral describes it as "bacterial SSU rRNA". It matches the Rfam family "Archaeal small subunit ribosomal RNA", at positions 474 to 903 of the family's 1478-position model. The record is from RNAcentral.